AUGAACGCUGGCGGCGUGCUUAACACAUGCAAGUCGAACGAGAAGUGAAGACGGAAACCUUCGGGCGGAAGGCUUUAUUUCGAGUGGCGGACGGGUGAGUAACGCGUGGGUAACCUGCCUCAUACAGGGGGAUAACAGUUGGAAACGACUGUUAAUACCGCAUAAGACCACAGCACCGCAUGGUGCGGGGGUAAAAACUCCGGUGGUAUGAGAUGGACCCGCGUUCGAUUAGCCAGUUGGCGGGGUAACGGCCCACCAAAGCGACGAUCGAUAGCCGAUCUGAGAGGAUGACCGGCCACAUUGGGACUGAGACACGGCCCAAACUCCUACGGGAGGCAGCAGUGGGGAAUAGUGCACAAUGGGGGAAACCCUGAUGCAGCGACGCCGCGUGAGUGAAGAAGUAUUUCGGUAUGUAAAGCUCUAUCAGCAGGGAAGAAAAUGACGGUACCUGAGUAAGAAGCCCCGGCUAACUACGUG
RNAcentral lists this ribosomal RNA (477 nucleotides) under uncultured bacterium. Its description in RNAcentral is "partial 16S ribosomal RNA". It matches the Rfam family "Bacterial small subunit ribosomal RNA", at positions 29 to 507 of the family's 1533-position model. The record is from RNAcentral.